This 253-nucleotide ribosomal RNA is filed under the name uncultured bacterium. RNAcentral describes it as "partial 16S ribosomal RNA". It matches the Rfam family "Bacterial small subunit ribosomal RNA", at positions 524 to 776 of the family's 1533-position model. The record is from RNAcentral.
UACGGAGGGGGCUAGCGUUGUUCGGAAUUACUGGGCGUAAAGCGCACGUAGGCGGCUUUGUAAGUUAGAGGUGAAAGCCCGGGGCUCAACCCCGGAAUUGCCUUUAAGACUGCAUCGCUUGAAUUGUGGAGAGGUAAGUGGAAUUCCGAGUGUAGAGGUGAAAUUCGUAGAUAUUCGGAAGAACACCAGUGGCGAAGGCGACUUACUGGACACAUAUUGACGCUGAGGUGCGAAAGCAUGGGGAGCGAACAGG